GCGUAGAGUAUACAUAGGGUAUGCAAGUAUACAAGUAUAUGAGCAAUGCAUACAGAGCAUGCAUGCAGUGCUUGCACUUAUUUUGGAGCACAAAACACAUCACUAACUUCACCUACUCGUUUUGAGACAAUCCGUAAACUGAACUCACUGCUGAAGGAAGAAGAACCUACAGAGCUGACAAAGAGGGCCUCAGUGGCCCCCCAAAAAUAUGGGGACUAUUCAGAUUGCUCAACUGAUAUUGAAACUCAGUCUCAGCAAGCAAAGAAGUCAAAGGCUCCCAGGAGGAUAGACCCUGCAGAAGAGUUUCUUAGGCUAUACGGUCAAUCACAGCCUUCUUCAGAUAAUCACAACAGUCCGACUCAGACUGUGGUUGAAUUAAAGCAGGAGAUCAAGGACCUGAAAGAAGAGAACGCGAAGUUGAAGGAGAUUGUUCUUCAAGAUGUGCCAGGACUCCUACUGAGCUUGAGGAAUAUAAUAGAUUCGGCUGCACCUCCUAAGAGAUCCAGGGUGGAGCCUACCAAAGCAUUACCGGCCCUUCCAGGGUCUCCGCAGUCCAGGUCCAGUUCUCCAUGUGCCACUUCGCUGUCCCUCCCCAGAUCUACGCUGUCCAGUUCCACAUCUGUGUCUCCAUCCCUGACUGCCUCCCAUUCUUCUAAGGUUGAGAUCCAUCCUGGGACCGGAGUCAUGGUUGAGAAACUGGCGUGGGCCUAUGCCAUCAAUGCCAAUUCGGCAACAGUCUUUGUGAGACAUCUGCUCACCGCAGUCUUUCCAGUGGAAAUACUGCUGGUGAGCAAUCUUCGGGGGAACAAACGAGGCGGAGGAGAGGCUCGUCAACCAUUAGACAAAAAUAAAUUGGAUGCCAUUUACAGUGCAACUCUUGAGAAGUGGCCUGGGACCCAGCUUUCCAGCAGUGGAAGUACGAUCAAUGCCAAGAUUACAGAACUCCGGUCAAAAAGUAAAAAUGCUGGUGUGUACACAGCUCCACAUUAA
This is a long non-coding RNA of Cyprinus carpio carpio, 990 nucleotides long. The record is from Ensembl. NCBI's taxonomy places the organism in Eukaryota, Metazoa, Chordata, Actinopteri, Cypriniformes, Cyprinidae.